Molecule: long non-coding RNA, 1211 nt
Filed under: Acyrthosiphon pisum (pea aphid)
Lineage: Eukaryota; Metazoa; Arthropoda; Insecta; Hemiptera; Aphididae
Description: uncharacterized LOC103308066, transcript variant X3
Source: RNAcentral
UUCAGACUCAGAGAUUCAGUUAGACAUGAUUUAUGGAAAUUGGAUUCAUUAAUUUUUGGACAUUCAAAAAUAUACCAUACUACUAUAGUACUAUUGUCUGAUUGUGAAGAAGCAGGUAGUCAAUUUUAAUAGUGCAGAUCUUCGAAGACCAGAAUGUGUAGAUGUGAAUUGGAAAGUGGCAACAUAUACCUAGUUCAGACCUUAGAGAUUUAGUUCGACAUUAUUUAUGGAAAUUGGAUUCAUUAAUUUUUGGACAUUCAAAGAUAUACCAUACUAUUGUCCAACUGUGAAGAAGUAGGUAGGUAGCCAAUUUUAAUAGUGCAGAUCUUCGAAGACCAGAAUGUGUAGAUGUGAAUUGGAAAGUGGCAACAUAUACCUAGUUCAGACUUCAGAGAUUUAGUUAGACAUGAUUUAUAGAAAUUGGAUUCAUUAAUUUUUGGACAUUCAAAACUAUACCAUACUACUAUAGUACUAUUGUCUGAUUGUGAAGAAGCAGGUAGCCAAUUUUAAUAGUGCAGAUCUUCGAAGACCAGAAUGUGUAGAUGUGAAUUGGAAAGUGGCAACAUAUACCUAGUUCAGACCUUAGAGAUUUAGUUCGACAUUAUUUAUGGAAAUUGGAUUCAUUAAUUUUUGAUAUACCAUACUAUUGUCCAACUGUGAAGAAGUAGGUAGGUAGCCAAUUUUAAUAGUGCAGAUCUUCGAAGACCAGAAUGUGUAGAUGUGAAUUGGAAAGUGGCAACAUAUACCUAGUUCAGACUUCAGAGAUUUAGUUAGACAUGAUUUAUGGAAAUUGGAUUUAUUAAUUUUUGGACAUUCAAAAAUAUACCAUACUACUAUAGUACUAUUGUCUGAUUGUGAAAAAGUAAGUAGCCAAUUUUAAUAGUGCAGAUCUUCGAAGACCAGAAUGUGUAGAUGUGAAUUGGAAAGUGGCAACAUAUACCUAGUUCAGACCUUAGAGAUUUAGUUCGACAUUAUUUAUGGAAAUUGGAUUCAUUAAUUUUUGGACAUUAAAGAUAUACCAUACUAUUGUCCAACUGUGAAGAAGUAGGUAGGUAGCCAAUUUUAAUAAUGCAGAUCUUCGAAGACCAGAAUGUGUAGAUGUGAAUUGGAAAGUGGCAACAUAUACCUAGUUCAGACUUCAGAGAUUUAGUUAGACAUGAUUUAUGGAAAUUGGAUUCAUUAAUUUUUGGACAUUCUAAACUAUACCAUAC